Molecule: long non-coding RNA, 277 nt
Filed under: Elaeis guineensis (African oil palm)
Lineage: Eukaryota; Viridiplantae; Streptophyta; Magnoliopsida; Arecales; Arecaceae
Description: long non-coding RNA (EGUI_LNC026977)
Source: RNAcentral
GCUAGCAAACGCACUCCAAUUUUUUGGCCUGUGCAUACUUUUUGUUUCUCCUUUAACAAAAGGAAUUAAGCAGUGAGACUUUGAUUUAAAAUGACUAGUGAUACAAACAUUCACUUGAGGAAGCAUCAAAGGCCGUGAUUCAGCUUCUAACAGAUGCCCGAUUUCUAGCUGGAACAUUCUCGUCAAGCAAAUUUGCAAAAGAGAAAAGUAACUGGGACUCUAUUUUCAAUAAAAGGAGUAAUGCAUCAAGUGCCUCUUGUACGACAUCCAGUAGCGC